RNAcentral lists this ribosomal RNA (569 nucleotides) under uncultured bacterium. RNAcentral's name for it is "partial 16S ribosomal RNA". It matches the Rfam family "Bacterial small subunit ribosomal RNA", at positions 355 to 912 of the family's 1533-position model. The record is from RNAcentral.
UGGGGAAUAUUGCACAAUGGGCGCAAGCCUGAUGCAGCCAUGCCGCGUGUGUGAAGAAGGCCUUCGGGUUGUAAAGCACUUUCAGCGAGGAGGAAGGUGGUGGACUUAAUACGUUCAUCAAUUGACGUUACUCGCAGAAGAAGCACCGGCUAACUCCGUGCCAGCAGCCGCGGUAAUACGGAGGGUGCAAGCGUUAAUCGGAAUUACUGGGCGUAAAGCGCACGCAGGCGGUUUGUUAAGUCAGAUGUGAAAUCCCCGGGCUCAACCUGGGAACUGCAUUUGAAACUGGCAAGCUAGAGUCUCGUAGAGGGGGGUAGAAUUCCAGGUGUAGCGGUGAAAUGCGUAGAGAUCUGGAGGAAUACCGGUGGCGAAGGCGGCCCCCUGGACGAAGACUGACGCUCAGGUGCGAAAAGCGUGGGGAGCAAAACAGGAUUAGAUACCCUGGUAGUCCACGCUGCAAAACGAUGUCGAUUUUGGAGGUUGUGCCCUUGAGGCGUGGCUUCCGGAGCUAACGCGUUAAAUCGACCGCCUGGGGAGUACGGCCGCAAGGUUAAAACUUAAAGGAAUUG